GUGAGGAAAUAUAAAUGAUAUUGUUACAAAAAAUUAAUUAUUUGUAUAUGUCGCAGAAUCACAAUUAUGCUACUGACUCGAAGUCACUUCCCAAUGGGGUGGAUGUAAAACAUGUUAAUCUGUAUGAUGGAAGUUGUGUGGGUCUUUCCUUCCAUCAACAGAAGUCAUGUUUCUUCAUUACCACCAGAAAGCCUCUCAUAGGCCUCAUGAUUUAGAUCUUGGGAACUUCUGAAGCAGAGGAAGGUCAGAGCCAACAUAGAACAAAGAAGCGAAGUUCAUACAUAUUUAGCUUAAUGGCUGAGUUCACCAGAUGGUUAUAGAUUUAUAGUCGAAAGUUAAAUUGUGCAGGCAGGUUUGGCAAUACUCAUUGGACUUGCUGGGAAGACCAAUGUCCAGACAAGGAGAAGAGCAGAGAAAUUGGAUGUUCUGUCAAAUGAAGCUUUUGUGAAGGCUUUGGUCAGCAGUGGCAGAACGACGAGUCGUCAUCAAUGAUGAAUACAUUAUCGACCAUACAUGUGCCGCCGAACAAGGCAUCCACUUCCCAUGGACGACAAUUUUUGGUGUCGGGCGUGUGACGCUGGUGUAACCUUCCCAUCAACAAGGUAUAACAUUCUUCUCCAAGAUGUGCUCCACUAUUCAAAGCUGUUAUAAGGAGCUUUCAAAGCAGGUCAAGGCUAAGCUCGAGAAGGUUGAUGACUCCUUCAACAAGUUGGCUGAUGUCAUGGUCACUUGGAUUGAAGCAUGAGACUCGAAUGGGUUAAACGUCGCCCUAAGUGUACAUGAAUCCUCGAA
Erigeron canadensis is the source of this 792-nucleotide long non-coding RNA. RefSeq lists it as uncharacterized. The record is from RefSeq and is a predicted model, not a curated record. The transcript is spliced from 5 exons. Lineage: Eukaryota; Viridiplantae; Streptophyta; Magnoliopsida; Asterales; Asteraceae.